ACAACAAAUAUUAAUAAAAUAUAUUUUUAUGUCAAAAUCAAAUGAAAUAAAUCUCUGGUUGCAGACUAUAAAAUAUAAAAGGAUUAAUUUUUAAAUAUAUCAAAAUUUUAUUCUAAAAAUGGCUUCUAAAUAAUUAUAAUAAAAAAAUGUCAUAAUUUUCAAUUACCAAUGAUAUUAGAACUCGUGUUUUUAUUUUUAAAAACUAGUUUUG
RNAcentral lists this long non-coding RNA (211 nucleotides) under Brassica rapa (field mustard). Its description in RNAcentral is "long non-coding RNA (BRAP_LNC000148)". Lineage: Eukaryota; Viridiplantae; Streptophyta; Magnoliopsida; Brassicales; Brassicaceae. The record is from RNAcentral.